AUCGCUUCUCGGCCUUUUGGCUAAGAUCAAAGUGUAGUAUCUGUUCUUUUCAGCUUAAUAUCUGAAAGUUCCCGCACUGCGGGACCAGUAUAUUAAACUGAUUUUUGUAAAGCGACGGGAUGUUCGGGGCUCGCUCCACUCCCGUC
This 146-nucleotide small nuclear RNA is filed under the name Papilio machaon (common yellow swallowtail). RNAcentral describes it as "U2 spliceosomal RNA". It matches the Rfam family "U2 spliceosomal RNA", at positions 1 to 145 of the family's 192-position model. From Rfam's summary of the family: U2 is a small nuclear RNA (snRNA) component of the spliceosome (involved in pre-mRNA splicing). Complementary binding between U2 snRNA (in an area lying towards the 5' end but 3' to hairpin I) and the branchpoint sequence (BPS) of the intron results the bulging out of an unpaired adenosine, on the BPS, which initiates a nucleophilic attack at the intronic 5' splice site, thus starting the first of two transesterification reactions that mediate splicing. Lineage: Eukaryota; Metazoa; Arthropoda; Insecta; Lepidoptera; Papilionidae. The record is from Rfam by way of RNAcentral.